UCGGGAAUUUUGGGCAAUGGGCGAAAGCCUGACCCAGCAACGCCGCGUGAAGGAUGAAGUAUUUCGGUAUGUAAACUUCGUAAGAAUAGGAAGAAUAAAUGACGGUACUAUUUGUAAGGUCCGGCUAACUACGUGCCAGCAGCCGCGGUAAUACGUAGGGACCAAGCGUUGUUCGGAUUUACUGGGCGUAAAGGGCGCGUAGGCGGUGUGUCAAGUCAGUUGUGAAAUCUCCGAGCUUAACUCGGAACGGUCAACUGAUACUGUCACACUAGAGUACAGAAGGGGCAAUCGGAAUUCUUGGUGUAGCGGUGAAAUGCGUAGAUAUCAAGAGGAACACCUGAGGCGAAGGCGGGUUGCUGGGCUUGUAGUGACGCUGAGACGCGAAAGCGUGGGGAGCAAACAGGAUUAGAUACCCGCGUAGUCCCUGAGCGGGCUGGCAAGGCGCAU
This 447-nucleotide ribosomal RNA is filed under the name uncultured bacterium. RNAcentral's name for it is "bacterial SSU rRNA". It matches the Rfam family "Bacterial small subunit ribosomal RNA", at positions 355 to 825 of the family's 1533-position model. The record is from RNAcentral.